AAUAACUUUAUUUUUCGUUUUUCCGUGUCUAACGUUUAACCAUUUGUUUUAUUUAAAAAUUUUUGUGAUUAAAAUUUUUUAACUAGAUGAUAAAAUAUGAAUAGUACUUUAUACGUAACUAAUUUCUUUUAAUUUUUUUAUAAAUUUUUUAAAUAAGACAAAUGGUCAAACAUUAGACACGUAAAAUAAAAAAUGAGGUUAUU
Molecule: non-coding RNA, 203 nt
Organism: Oryza brachyantha (malo sina)
Lineage: Eukaryota; Viridiplantae; Streptophyta; Magnoliopsida; Poales; Poaceae
Source: Rfam